AACGAACGCUGGCGGCAUGCCUAACACAUGCAAGUCGAACGAGACCUUCGGGUCUAGUGGCGCACGGGUGCGUAACGCGUGGGAACCUGCCCUUAGGUUCGGAAUAACUCCCCGAAAGGGGUGCUAAUACCGGAUAAUGUCUUCGGACCAAAGAUUUAUCGCCUUUGGAUGGGCCCGCGUUUGAUUAGCUAGUUGGUAGGGUAAAAGCCUACCAAGGCGACGAUCCAUAGCUGGUCUGAGAGGAUGAUCAGCCACACUGGGACUGAGACACGGCCCAGACUCCUACGGGAGGCAGCAGUGGGGAAUAUUGGACAAUGGGCGAAAGCCUGAUCCAGCAAUGCCGCGUGAGUGAUGAAGGCCUUAGGGUUGUAAAGCUCUUUUACCCGGGAUGAUAAUGACAGUACCGGGAGAAUAAGCUCCGGCUAACUCCGUG
This 433-nucleotide ribosomal RNA is filed under the name uncultured bacterium. RNAcentral's name for it is "partial 16S ribosomal RNA". It matches the Rfam family "Bacterial small subunit ribosomal RNA", at positions 29 to 507 of the family's 1533-position model. The record is from RNAcentral.